GGUUCUGUAUAGUUACCGUAGUGGUACUGAUUUGUAACCCAAAGUUAUAUAAAUAAAUAAAAAGAAGUUAAAAAAAAAAAAAAGUUCCAGCGAAUCAUCGGAUAGAAACAACUCAUAUGUAUUAAGCAUGUUUAUGUACAAGAAUGUAUCUAAGAAGGUAUCUACAUUCUGUAACAAUGAAUAUCAAUAUUUAGGCCUAUUUUCUGUCGACGAAUUUGUUUAAGGCCCAUCAAAUGCGUUGCUAGGAAUACAAUAACGAAUAGUGGAAUACACGACCAAGUUGAGCAAACGC
Molecule: long non-coding RNA, 292 nt
Filed under: Brassica napus (rape)
Lineage: Eukaryota; Viridiplantae; Streptophyta; Magnoliopsida; Brassicales; Brassicaceae
Description: long non-coding RNA (BNAP_LNC006122)
Source: RNAcentral